CAAACUGUUACCGCCUCAUAUUAAAGAAAAAGAAGAAGAAGAAAAGGGGCUACGCAACAACACACCGGAAGUAAAACAUUUCCAGUUCUGUAGCCUAAAUAAAGCCCCUUACUGUAUAGCAAAACGAAAGGCUUUAUUCAUAAUUCAGCCCAUCAGAAAUGUUUUUUUAGAGCUGAUUUUACAGAGGCUUUGGAUGUUAGACUAAAGAUUAAAGUGACUAGAUUACGUAUCUUUUGUACGUUUGCUACCUAGCGUUAGCGUAUCUUCUGCUGCCCAGUAGGAUAAACCGAACAUAAACAAUUAAAAGGAGAAUCACCAAAAUGGAGAAACUAGAAACACCGUACGAGGAAGAGACCGGGUUUAUCGAGUGCACGGUCUGUGAGAAAUCCUUAAGGGGCGAAACCUUGUACAAGAUACACCUGACUACAGCAGCGCAUGUCAAGAAAGAGGAUGCCCUUGUUGCUGUCGGCCGUGCAAUCAGAAAACACACCGUGCCUGAAUUUAAGGACAUUGUACAUUAUCUGGAUUAUCUAAAGCUCGAUGAGCCCAUCAUUGGUUUGAGCUUUUUGGAUGAAAUACCAUCUAAUGAUCUUCAGGGAGGCCCCAGGUACUUGUGUAGGCUCUGUCAUCACACUGCAAACCUGCCUGACAUGGUACACCAUGUGAUUGGACGCAAACACCGGCAGAAAUAUGUGGAACUCAAGCGGCAAGAUCUGGUUACGUGGGAUAAGGAAUCAAUAAUAACUCAAGGAGGAAAGAUCAUUCGAGCCAGAGCGGAAAUUAUAGAGAGGCAAGAUGGACGAGGAAGUCCAGUGGCUCUGGUGAGACGAGGCGUUGAGGGCAGGUUAAACAUCUGUAAAGUACCUCCAAGAGAGAAGCAAAAUAGAAGCAGAGCCCAGAGGUCAAAUGAACACAACGUUCCACCACUCUUACCAGAACUCAAAGGCUACAAGGAGUACUCCAGUCGAAAGUUUGCCACAGGUUACCAAAAUACCCUGCAGUUCCACCCAGAUGAACCUAACCCGAAGCGAGCCCGAAGAAUGCAGCAAAGUGAUGACCCACUCGAGCGAGACUACAUGGAGGAGAAGCUACGCAGGAAAAGUGAUAUGUACCGAGAAGAGUACAUUGACCCAGAUAGUCGUAGGGUGUACAAAAAGCAAUAUGCUGAAGAUCCUUAUAACUUUUCUCCUUCAAGCGUUUCUCUUGAACCAGAUAGUGUCCCCCGAUAUAAUUCCAGGGAGGACAGGGCCCAUGACCAAAUUCCAGAUGUAAACUAUUACCCAGACAUGGGUCCUCCACAAAGGAGACCCUUCCCAGAAAAUGAUCCAUUGAAAGAGUUUUACACAGAGGAAGUUCGACGUAGGCGAGGACAGUCUGCUGAACAUCAGCCCUCUCACCGGGCCAGUCUAGGUGAACGCCAGUGGUCUCUGGAGAGGGAACCUGGUAGACACAGUAUGAUCAGAGCAGGCAGACAGGGAUCAAGUGAGCCAGAGGUCAAGAGGGGCAGCUUCAGAGAUUAUCUGCCAAAAGAAACAGUGUCCUAUUCUGGGCCCUCUACCUCUCAGCUACAGGUGGACGUCACCAGAACAAUGUCCAACAUCCCUGAACCAUUCAGGCGCUUCCUGAAAGGGGACACUAAUGAUGAGGGCAGCAAAAGAAAGAGAACAAGUCGCUUCUCUGAUGCUACUGUAGAGGAGGUGGAAAUGACAAAAGAGAUGUUUGGUGAUGACUAUGGACCUCCAAAGUUUGGUGGUUAUAGUAGAGGAGCUGACGCACCAUUUGGAUCCAACAUCCUGGGAACACAACUUGACCACCCCACAGAAUCACACAUGAACCCACGUGGUGAAAGUUAUCAGAAAGGGGCUUUAGGGACAGAUGGUGUCUUUGAUAUGUUGAAAAACAUUGAAAUUGAAACUACCGAAGAUGCCGACUUCCUGAACGAGAAACUUUGCAGUCUUCUGCGUGAGUUCAAGUCCAGAAAAUUGGAGAAAAAUAUGCGUAAUAGCCAAGGUCGAGCAGUCAACAACAGUUUACAGGCAGACUUACACUAUGAGACAGCUCACAGAGAAGAUUCAGACAUUAGAUGGCCCGAUCUCUGCUUUGAAGAUGAUCAUAGAGGAAUCGGCAGGAGGGAGCAUGACAACAGGUUCAUAGAUUACCAUCACCUUGGGAAUGGAGAACCCAGAUAUUCGAACAGAAGUCAUCAUGAAGAUGACUCCCCUUAUCCUGAAAGGUUUGAAGAACCCAUGUAUUCUUCUGACUACCAACCUGCCACACAGAGUUUUGGCACCCACUCUGCUGCAACUCCACUACACAUGGAAGUAAAACCUAGACUGGACAGGGAAUCUCGGUUCUCAAAUAAAAUGGACAAAAUCACCUCCACCCUUCUUGAAUUUGUAGCUAGGAAAUAA
Molecule: long non-coding RNA, 2411 nt
Filed under: Betta splendens (Siamese fighting fish)
Lineage: Eukaryota; Metazoa; Chordata; Actinopteri; Anabantiformes; Osphronemidae
Description: lncRNA (ENSBSLG00000025645.1)
Source: RNAcentral